UACGUAGGGUGCAAGCGUUAAUCGGAAUUACUGGGCGUAAAGCGUGCGCAGGCGGUGAUGUAAGACAGGUGUGAAAUCCCCGGGCUUAACCUGGGAACUGCAUUUGUGACUGCAUCGCUGGAGUGCGGCAGAGGGGGAUGGAAUUCCGCGUGUAGCAGUGAAAUGCGUAGAUAUCGUAAGGAAGACCAGUGGCGAAGGCGAGUCUCUGGACAGUUGCUGACGCUGAGGCACGAAGGCCAGGGGAGCAAACGGG
Molecule: ribosomal RNA, 253 nt
Filed under: uncultured bacterium
Lineage: Bacteria
Description: partial 16S ribosomal RNA
Rfam family: Bacterial small subunit ribosomal RNA
Source: RNAcentral